RNAcentral lists this ribosomal RNA (253 nucleotides) under uncultured bacterium. Its description in RNAcentral is "partial 16S ribosomal RNA". It matches the Rfam family "Bacterial small subunit ribosomal RNA", at positions 524 to 776 of the family's 1533-position model. The record is from RNAcentral.
UACGGGGGGGGCAAGCGUUGUUCGGAAUUACUGGGCGUAAAGGGCUCGUAGGUGGCCAACUAAGUCAGACGUGAAAUCCCUCGGCUUAACCGGGGAACUGCGUCUGAUACUGGAUGGCUUGAGUUCGGGAGAGGGAUGCGGAAUUCCAGGUGUAGCGGUGAAAUGCGUAGAUAUCUGGAGGAACACCGGUGGCGAAGGCGGCAUCCUGGACCGACACUGACGCUGAGGAGCGAAAGCGUGGGGAGCAAACAGG